UGACCUCUUGAAGCUCAGUCUGAGCUGGGAAGGUCGGUCCCCUCCUCAUGUUAGCCAUCUUUUCCCAGAGAACAGCAACGAACACAACACCCGCAACCUACACAGGAACAAGCCAACAUGCCCAGAGAUGGUCAGUCGUAUUGGGAUAACAGUUCUAGCCUGAGGCGAAUCAUGAAGAUACCGAACCUCACCACCCUUUAUCCAUAUGGGGAUCCAUCCGUGUUUCCUGAGAAUAGUGAAGUGAACAUUCUGGGAGUGGAUGGGGUCAUGUACAAAGGCAGGAUGGCCUCUCGUGGUGCUCCACAUUCUGUUAUUACUGAGAAGGACCUGGCAGGAUUAAAGAGCCCAAGGGCCCCAUCAUCCCGCAGUGCAUGUGAGCAUAUACGUUCCAGUGUCUCUGGUGCCAUGUACCCUGCCUCACGCCCCAGAACCAGCAUGACAGCCCACGUCCUGCAGCAGUUCACUUCGCAGCCUAUGCUGACUUCGGGAACUCUCCAGCACUCCCCAUCCUCAGCUGCAAAUAUGUCCAGCACCAAAAACAGGCCUGUUUGCAGACCAGCUACCAGCAGUGGCCCGUUUGCCGCCAAGCCCAGCUCUGCUUCUUUACCUAUCAACGGCUUCAAUCCCAUUUCACCAGAAGAGGGAACCAGCAUGUGAGCCCCUUCCACUCCCUCUUCCACUGAUGUAGCCCCCCCUCUUCCAUCAGGAGUCCUCCACUCACAGCCCAUCCCCUAAGAGAGAUCAAGCUGGUAAUGGAUUCCAUUGCCUAAGAAAGUUGGAUGGAUUUGAAAUCAGAGAACCUGGAUUCAAAUCUCAGCCCUGCCACAUAUUGCCCUGCCUUAGACAAGUCACUUGGACUCUUUGGGCCUUAAUUUUCUCAUCUGUAAAAUAAGGAGGUUGAAUUAAAUGGCUAUUAAGAUCCCUCCCCUUCUAAAUCAAUGAUCCCUCUGGGGCCAUCUCUUGCCCUUCCAUCCUUCAGUAUUCUAGCUUGCUGUAAAAAUGCUGGGGAAUCAACAGUUGCUCUAAAAUAAAGUGGAUUUUUUAAGGCUUGUGAGGCA
This 1058-nucleotide long non-coding RNA is filed under the name Vombatus ursinus (common wombat). Its description in RNAcentral is "lncRNA (ENSVURG00010013713.1)". The record is from RNAcentral. Lineage: Eukaryota; Metazoa; Chordata; Mammalia; Diprotodontia; Vombatidae.